AAAAAUUGUUCCAGCUGUCCAAAAAGCUGAGAAGGCUACCAUCCACGUGCCUCUAUGUGAAACAGGAACGAACUCCAGAAAAUAGGAUAAGAAUACAGGUCCUCCCCCCAAACCAAUACCAACGAAACAACGAAAUAUCAACAAUGAUACAUAAUUUGGGGAGAAAGUACUUAAUAGUCCAGCCACACUAGUUACCAUAGCUAUGCUGAGAAAACUCUUUCUGGAGAGAGCAGAUACUAGUCAGCAUUUAAUAAAACUAGAAAAAAGUACUUAUAAAACAUCAAGUUUCAACCAAAGACUUUAUAUAUAUGAAUAAAUUCUUAAGUAGAAUGGCCUAACAUUUGAUGGUUAAGUGCAUCUUUAUGAUUUACUUAAGGAUAUCAGGGAAAAAAGGUGAACUGAUGUACUGAAAUAAACUGAACCUUAAAAGCCUGGUGGAAAACGAAGUUGAACAGACUCAUAUUUGAGCUGUACCAAGCAAAAAGCUUCUUGCAGCACAUAUAACAGUCAAGAAACAUCGCGCUUUAUAAUCCAUGAUGCGUAUGACUUGAAAAUACAAUAACAUUUCUGCCUAUGGCAAUUCACAAGUAGUAUGCAAUGAGUGGAACAGCAAGAAAAGAAUGUGGUGACAGAAAUAUUCCUUACAGAUUCUAGUAAUACUUGUAGUAACAUUUUAGGAAGACCACUGAACAGGUUGAAAAAACUGGAAAUUGAUAAAUUAAAGGGAAAUGAAUGGCUUAGAAAGGGUGCUAAACUUUUUUAGAAUUUCAAAUCUCAGUCUGCUAAUUUAGAAAAUUUGUAACACUGCAUAAACACUUUAUUCUUUCUGCAUGGAUAUUUGUGACCCCCUAAUUGCUUCUGUGUGCCUACAUGUUGAAGUUUGAGUGGGCGAGUUAAAAAUUGAAUCUGUUAAGGUAAAACAGGCAUCAAGAGCUCAGAUGAGUUGCAAAAACAGUUUAGGUUACAAUAAAAAGGGACAAAGCUAUUAAACAUAUUUGAAAUUUAAUAUGUACAUUUCUAAGUUGAAAUAGUGAGAAACAUCCAGAAGGCAAAUCCAAAUUGUGGAGAAAGCACAUGAUGAAACUCCCAAGUAAUCUCCAGAAGUAUAAGAAUCAAAAUGAAAUCUUUUAUAUACAAAUCCUCCUGUGAGCCGAUGAAGAUAUAGGCUAAAAGAAUGAUAAUAUGCUAUCUGCAAGGUAAGAAGCUAUUCUAGCAACGUAGCAAAUAUACGUUCGAUGUCUGAAUUAACAAGCAAUAACCUACCUCCUCCCAUAAUUAUCAGAAAUAAUGCCCCAAGAAUAAGCUCCAAGCAGCAUCCCAGCGAAAACAACAGUGGUUAGCAGGCUCUCUUCGCUUGAGGUUAGUUUCCACUUUGAUUUGACUGCUGGUCCAACAAAAGAGAGAAUCAUAAUCUCCAUUGCCUCUGAAACCCAACCAAGUCCAGCAUAUGCCAGCACUAGAGCUUGGUACUUCCCAAACCUCAGAGCAGAAAGUGCUUCAUCCAGCAUGUACACAGGACGUUCAUCUCCCAUCUAAAGACCCAAAUUGAAAGAUAUUGUUGUCCAUAAACAUAUCCAUCAAAAUUAUUAGUCCACUGCAGACUAUAUUUGCAUAAAUAAUGACUACUCUUACCAACAGAGAGACAACAGCAAUGGCACAAAUAAUUGUAACAAAUAACAAGAGAGAAAUUCAUAUCCUUAUGCAUAGUUGGACCAUUGAAUUUAUAUGUUUCAGUCAAAGAAACUUGUUUUCGGCUCAAUUGGAUGAAAGUUUACACAGUAAACUAAUCAAAUGUUGAAAUGUGUUCUAAGUGACAUAACCUUGAAGUCAAUGUUUUUUUUUUUUAAAAUACAUAUAACAUCCUUAUGUGUUUCAGCAACUUCACAUAUUUAAAUUCUAUAAUUCUUUGUUUGAAAAUAAAAAAUAAAAAGUCAAAAAAAUCCACUUGAGGGUGUAUGUUAGGUUCCAGGAGACAGACAGUGAGACAGAGAAAAAAAUAAAUUGUCAAUAUGAAGUCAAAAUUCAUUCAGUACACCAGAAGAAAGCAGCUUUUCUUUUUGCUUGCUGCAACAACAACUCCAGGGAAAGCACUUUUGGGAAGUUUGAUAAAACAUUUGCACAAAUAUGUCCCAUACCAAAGUAAAUUCAGGCAAGUUUCUGGAUAUUCAAAAGCAUGUAUGCGCAGCUUAAAUUAAAUAGUUCUGAAGUAGCUUCACAAGAAUUGCUUAUCAACUAACAACAAAAUGCAGUAAUUGUGGGAACACAAAUGCAUCACCUUUCUUUAGAAAACACGUGCAAGCCAAAUGAUCAAAAGCUCUAUAUGAUCACAAAAAGAACAAUGAAAAUACGAAAAACAAGAAAUUACCUUUACUGGUUUCACCUGAAAGAGUGAGUACUGACUACAGAGCACAGAGCGGUCAAGUAACUAUCACAAACAAAUACUAGUAGGACGCUAGACCGACUUGUCGUACAGAGGUGGAUAUGGAAAUGGGAAUCCUGGUAAUCAUUGUCAGAAGGUCGUCAACGAAUAAUUGAAUGUUCUUUAGGUGUUGGUGCAAGUGGGCGAGAUCGUGAAUCGAUCAAACCAGAAAGUGACGUGUGGAAGGGUUUGGGUCAUUUGUGGUCCGAUCAAUACGAUUAAAAAGAAAAUUAUGAUUGUGUUGAAAGAGAAGGAGGUGGGAACCACGGGGGCUGUCGUUUUGUUGGUGAUCGAUAACGUCAAGAACAAGAAAGAUUACCGAAUGCCACCACUGCGGCGAGCGCUAGUUGACAAGUGUGUAGAAAAUGACACCAACUUCGCCGGAGUUCGUCACCAGUUCGCAUGAGAUGACAUAGGUAAUCGGUAAUGUGGUAAUUAGUAAUGAUAUUUCACUCAAAAUUUUUGACGGAAUAGUUAUCAAAUAACUCUAGUAUCUUGCGCUUUUUUAGUGGGAUCGUUAUAUUAAAAAAAUUACGACCCCUUUGGCAGUUCAAAUCUCAGUAUUAGUACACCGGUGGAUUUGAUUUUUUUUUGUAUAAUAGGGGUUUAUUUGUCUCUUUCUAUUAGGGUAAAAUCGAUGUCUUUCUAAUAUUUACAGUGAAAAUAGAUAUUCUUUUAAUUUUAAGUAAAUGCUCGAAUGUCGUAUAAUAGGCUCCAAUAUUGACAGUGAGGAUAUAUCUCCCUCCAAUUUUAAGUGAAGAUUGACUUUCAGAUUGUCCUAUAAUAGGAUUAUUCAUGAGAGUCCUCGAUUGAUCUCUAAUUAUAAAUAUCAGUAGAGAUUUGAUUGUAUUAUAUUAGUAUAUCAAAAAAAAAAUUAAGACUGCAUAAUUUUUCUGUUAUUUUUGUUGCAUGUGCAUAUACAUGUGGUUUUUUUUUUCACUCUUUUGCCUCUUUAAUCCAUAGUAAUUUAUUAGUUCUCUCUUAUUUUUAUUUUUGUAGGUUAUAUUUAUGUGACUUGAGUUGAGAGACAUGACUCUCAUGUAUAUGAUUUGUUUCCCUAAAUUUAAAACAAUUUCUUCUAUUUGUAUUUUCUUUCAUUAUACUUGAAACUACUUUUAAACCAUAAUUUCCAAAUCAAUUAUUCUCAUUCAUAAGUUUAUUGAUAGAAAGAACUUUUUUUUUUUAAAUGUUGCAAUAAAAAUAAAUAAGACUAAUUUCAAGAGUGAGAAAAUGGCUUAAAAAUCAUAAAUGAAUUAAAUAAUCAUAAAUUAGGUGUUGAUUAAAAGGGUAUUUUUGGAAUCAUGUUGGAUUUUACUGAAAAUGGGGGUCUUCGGAGGAUAUUUGAGGGGCAUAAAUAGAUUCACUCUACAAUAUAAUCUACAAUAAAUGCAUCAUCGUAAGGUCUCCGAUUCAAAAGAAUGUUAACCCCUGUCUCGGCCAUAUCCGUUUCUGUUUGGACUGAAUUGUCACAAAUCCAAAAACAAAGACAAUAAUAAUAAUAAUAAUGUUGACGGAGAGAAGGUUCCGGAAGAUCCAUCAAUUACCCUGCUAGCUAGGUUCCUACUUUUUAGCACAAUCACGAAUAAGAACUUAAUCCACAUUUUCCAUGAAAGUCCAUGACUCCAUGGUCCAUGCCAUCAAAAUUUGCAAAGAUUUCGUUAGUAAAGUCAUUGAAAUAACCGUCAUAAAAUCGUAAAAGAAUAAAACAAAUUGGGUUAUUAAUAAAUACUUUCUCCUGAUACUAUAAAAUUGAAAAAUUAUUUUUUAAAAAAAAUAACUUGACGUGUAAAUUUUUAUUUUUUAUUUAAAAAAGUAGAGGAACGGACUUUAUCCAUAUUAAUUUUUUAUUUCUUAUCUCUCUGAAAAUUCAUAUUGGGGUGAUCAAUUAGAUAAAAUUAUUUAAAAAUUACUCGACAUCUUAAAGGGGUGUAAUUAUGUUAUCGAUUAAGUGAUUAAAUUUUACUACAUUUCGCCAAUAAAUAACUUGGUGACUCAGGAGAUGGAUAAUAAAAGAGAAGCAGAGCGAAUGAUGGUACAGCAGAAAGUGCAAGUAACCACCUCCAAUUCAGUAUUAUCAUGACAUUGUGCAAGUGAAGGCAUGUUGACAUUUUAUGAAGCCUCAAGGCCUUCUUCAGUCACCAGCAUAAUACUGGGUAAAAUUGUGUAUUAAUUUAUCAAGAAAGAAAUAUGUUAUCAGAAAGCAGACUCUUAAGCUUCAUGAUGUAAGUGACUUUUGAGUUUGAAGUCAGGACAGAAAGCGUACCCAGGCAAGUGAAGCCUUAAAGAUUGUUCUAGCACUCCAGUAAGCUGAGCACACUACCAUCCACGCACCUCAACAAGAAACAGGAACGAACUCUAGAAAAAUAGAAUAAAAAUACGUGUACUCUGCCCAAACAACGACAUAUCACCAUACACCACCAUUGAUGCAUAAUUUGGUGAGAAAGCACUCAGCAAUCCAGCCACACAAGUUACCACUGCUAAGCCGAGCAUACUCUUUCUGGAAAGAGCAGACCAGACAACAUGAUGACUUGUAAAAAUGAAGUCUAGUUUCAACCAAAGACAUAAUAUUUAUGAAUCGUUUCUUUGGCAUAAUGGCUUGACAUUAUAUAGAUAAGACCAGCUUCACGAUUUACUUAAAUAUAACAUCAGAAAGAAAAAGGCGGAUUGACGUAAAGAAAAAAAGAAAUGACUAAUAUCUUGUACCACCAAGGGCUUCUAUUUCUUUAGAAAGCCACUUGUAGAGUACAGUACAUAUAGCAAUAAUCUAGAAACUGAAAAAUGAUUUUCACUUUAUUAAAUUCGUGAAGCCUAUGAUUAGAGUUCGAAUGUGCUAAUAUUCAAAGCUUAAAAUCAUCCAUAAAUUCUUUAUUCUGCAUGGACAGUUCGGACAGCAUAAUUGCUUCUGCGUGCCUACAAUGUGGGAGAAGCAAAAGUAAAUUAACAAAGCAAAACGGAAGGACGAAAUAGGCUACUUCCUCCCCGAAAUUAACAGAAACAAACAGCAUCCCAAUAAAAAAAACAACAGUCGCCUGACGUGAGUCCCCAUUUUGAUCCUACAAAAGAGAGAAUUAUCAUCUCCAUCGCUUCCGAAAACCAACCGAGUCCAGCAUACGAGAGAGCACAACAGCUAUGUAGUUCGCCAAAUCUCAGAGCAGAAAGUGCUUCAUCCAACGUGUACACAAGGCUUUCAUCUCCCAUCUACUGAACCCAAUUAAAAACGAUGAGGCUACUUCUCACCUCCAACAAUAACACCGCCAAUGGCACAAAUAAUUUGUAACAACUAACAAAUUACAAAUCAAUGGAAAGAAAUUUGUAUCCUUGUAUGUUUCGGUCAAAGAAACCUUUUUCUUUUAACUGAUCAGUUGGACUAAAAGUCCAGACAACAAUAUUAUUGACAAAUUAACCAAAUGUGUUCUAAGAGAUAUAUAUUAACUUGAUAUUGGGUUCACCCGAAAUAAAGGUUUAAACUCGGAGUAUGAUAAUAAAUCCUAAGACGCCAAGUUAAACCGACUUGUCGUGCGGAUAAUACCUUUUGCCGUUCCUUCCUGAUUAAAAAGAUAUCUCACGGGUUAAUAAUGAUUUUGGUGCCUGGAGUUCGGAAAAUUCCACUGCGCGGGUACCAGCCCUGCAGCGUAAAAUUCUGAAUAUUUUAGUUCGGAAUUAUGGGAACGUGGGCCAGGGGGAUCACGUGUAUUCUCUAGAUGGCAAGAUUGAACAUUAACUAAUUAAAUAUAAAGCGUCGGAUUUGACGAUACUUUGUCCACUCAACAUUUUAGUUGCUGUGGGCAACUAAAGACGAGAUAUUUUUAUUAUUAAUUUUUGCAUUUUUCUACCUUCACCAACCGUACAGUUUCUUUUUUCACAUAGCACUUGGUAUCGUAUAUUUCAACAGCAACAUACGAAGCCUAAAAGCCUUAUUGAAAUUCGGCUGCGAGCCCAAAAUUUGAAAGUGAUGAAAGGAGAUGAUGAUGACUGAUGAGAGAGAUCCAAACAUGAAAAUUAAUUAAUGCACUUGAAACUUAAUUUAUAUAACAUUUGCAUCCAAUUCAUAAGCGUUCAAUGAAAAGUAAGAAAGUUUGCUGAAGUAUUGUGCACUGACGUACUUUUUCCACUGGCAAGAGAGUAUAAGAAACAGAGCAACAAGCUUACUAUGAUUCAAUUGCAUCCACAGUAUCUUUUAGUUCCCGUCCCAUGGUUUCAAAUGGGAAGAGCAGAGAAGAGGCUAUAGCCAGAACAAAUACAACCUCAAACAGAAUAACCGCAAGUCUUAGGUGACAACUGGUUACAAGUCCAACGGCAACAAGAGGGCAUACCAUGCCUCCAACUUUUCCCAAAGAACUUGCAACACCAAACCCAGUUGUCCUCGCGGGCGUAGGAUAUAUCUGAGAUGAAAAACAUAUUUGUGAAACUUGAAAGAGUAAACGAUCAUAAAAAUGAAGACUAUAACGUAUCAAGAACUCAAGCGCUAUUAAUUAGUACAAUUUUCUUUCGAUAGGUAUGAGAAGUUCCAUCAGAUUACCUCAGGGGCAUAAAUUGUGGCAACUGUUAUGGUUCCUGUGACACACAUGCGAACUCCGAACAGUAACAACGUAGUUACUACAGCAGACUGAUGGAAGACCAGUGGCAGAAGGAAAAUGCAAGCUGAGACAAACAUAAGAACCAUGGAAAGCUUGCGGCCAAUUUUGUCCACUAUUAUUGCUGACAAGAUAAGCCCAGGAAGCUCUGUAAUAUAAAAUCAACACAAAUGUUACUAAGCCAUGACACUAUAUGAAAGAAAAUAAAAGGUGUUAAAAGAGAAGAAUAUAUUUCAAAAUAUAGAGUACAUGACGGUCAACGGAAGUCAUACAGUACCUGCCAAACUAGCGAUAAACACAUCGACAUACAGGCUAUUAUCUUUCGACUUGUCCACAUGCAAGACCUUUGAGCCGCAUUUACUGUCUCCACUGCUUAGCUUAGAGGUCAACAAGACAGCGCCAUAAUAUGAGAAAACAUUUGCAAAGAAUAACACCCAUAGGAGAAGAGUUGUCCGAAUUAAUUUUCUUGAGAAAAGCAUAAAAAAUGAUGAGAAGCCAGACUUUAACUUCUCGGUGAUCUUUCUUGUAAUUGAGAGCAUAUGUGUAUCUCGCAAUAAAUUUGAUUCUUCGUUCUCUUUAAUUGCUUUAUCAGAAACAAGAAUGCCGGGUGGGAGUUUUGUUUGGUUGACAAAAGCCAUCUUCUCGAGAAUUCUAUGUGCAUCAGCUGUUCUAGCUUUCGCACACAAAUACCGGGGUGACUCAGGUGCUAGACCAUAAAAGAGAAGCAGAGCAAAUGAUGGUACAGAGGAAAAUGCAAGUAGCCACCUCCAAUUCAGUCUUGUCAUGACAACCUGCAAAUGAAAGAAUUUUUAAAUUUUACGGAGCCUCAGAGCCUCCUGUCACCAGCAUACCAGUUAUCGCUUAAGAAGAAUAAAAAUAGAAAAGCAUGAUUAGUUAUUUGGUUCAGACAUCAGUUGAAGAUAAACGUCCAUUUUUCCGAAUAUCAUAAACUUUUAAAGGUACAAUAUCUUUUCUGGAACGAUGCCAAAAGAUUUUGAAUAAUGAAGAACGGGCAAAACCAGCUGGGAGAGCUUACCAAUGCACAAUACUUGUAAAAUUUUAUGAGGAAACUAUUACCUAAAGAUACCUCAAUCUUCUCUGGAAGACUGUUAAGCUUCAAGUGAUAUCGAACACGUUAUGAAGUUUUAGAUACUAAUUAGUUUAGGAAUUAUUUUCAUUUUGGAAACUUGGUGUUCCUCUGCCAACAGGAGUAGAUUCCCUUCAGAUUAGGUUUGGACUACCAUAAAUAGAGGAUUAGUUUUUAGUGAUUAUUAAUCCACUGAAAUCUUGUUUCAUCUCUUAAUUCUCUUUGUUCUUCUUCUUCCCUUUGUAAUUCUUUUCUCCCACUCUCUCUUUCUUUUCUUUUAUUUCCUUUCCUACAUCAUCACCAUGCCACAAGGUAAAAACGGGACUGUUUCUAGGAAGUAAAAGAAAUAUAAUCUAAGAGUUAUUUGGAUAAUGACAGUAGAAGUUAGGAAAUUAUACAUACCCAGGCAAGCGAAGCCUCAAAAAUUGUUCCAGCUGUCCAGAAAGCUGAGAGGGCUACCAUCCACGUGCCUCUAUGUGAAACAGGAACGAACUCCAGAAAAUAGGCUAAGAAUACAGGUACUCCCCCCAAACCAACACCAACGAAACAACGAAAUAUCACCAAUGAUACAUAAUUUGGCGAGAAAGAACUUAAUAGUCCAGCCAUACUAGUUACCAUAGCUAUGCUGAGAAAACUCUUUCUGGAGAGAGCAGACACUAGUCAGCAUUUAAUAAAACUAGAAAAAAGUACUUAUAAAACAUCGAGUUUCAACCAAAGACUUUAUAUUUAUGAAUAAAUUCUUAAGUAGAAUGGCCUAACAUUUGAUGGAUAAGUGCAUCU
Molecule: long non-coding RNA, 8860 nt
Filed under: Citrus sinensis (sweet orange)
Lineage: Eukaryota; Viridiplantae; Streptophyta; Magnoliopsida; Sapindales; Rutaceae
Description: long non-coding RNA (CSIN_LNC001596)
Source: RNAcentral